GUGCUCACUUUGGCAGCACAUAUACGAAAAUUGGAACAAUACAGAGAAGGUUAGCAUGGCCCCUGUGCAAGCAUGACAUGCAAAGUCGUGAAGCAUUCCAUAUUUUU
This 107-nucleotide small nuclear RNA is filed under the name Prolemur simus (greater bamboo lemur). Lineage: Eukaryota; Metazoa; Chordata; Mammalia; Primates; Lemuridae. The record is from RNAcentral.